GUCACUGUAGCGCAAUUUAUAGCGCGUUGAACUUUUAAUUCAAAGGUUGUGGGUUCAAAUUCCUCCUAGGAGGGCC
Non-coding RNA from Trichonephila clavata, 76 nucleotides. NCBI's taxonomy places the organism in Eukaryota, Metazoa, Arthropoda, Arachnida, Araneae, Nephilidae. The record is from the annotation of a GenBank genome assembly.